Molecule: ribosomal RNA, 459 nt
Filed under: uncultured bacterium
Lineage: Bacteria
Description: partial 16S ribosomal RNA
Rfam family: Bacterial small subunit ribosomal RNA
Source: RNAcentral
GAUGAACGCUGGCGGCGUGCCUAAUACAUGCAAGUCGAGCGGUAAGGCCCUUCGGGGUACACGAGCGGCGGACGGCUGAGUAGCGCGUAGGAACGUACCCCAAAGUGAGGCAUAAGCACCAGAAAUGGUGUCUAAUACCGCAUGUGGUCUUCGGAUUAAAGCCUUCGGGCGCUUUGGGAGCGGCCUGCGUAUGAUUAGCUUGUUGGUGAGGUAAUGGCUCACCAAGGCGACGAUCAUUAGCUGGUCUGAGAGGAUGAUCAGCCAGACUGGGACUGAGACACGGCCCAGACUCCUACGGGAGGCAGCAGUAGGGAAUUUUCCACAAUGGACGAAAGUCUGAUGGAGCAACGCCGCGUGCAGGAUGAAUGCCUUCGGGUUGUAAACUGCUUUUAUAUGUGAAGAUUAUGACGGUAGCAUAUGAAUAAGGAUCGGCUAACUCCGUGCCAGCAGCCGCUGUAA